CUGCCAGUAGUCAUAUGCUUGUCUCAAAGAUUAAGCCAUGCAUGUCUUAGUGCAAGCCAAAUUAAGGUGAAACCGCAAAUGGCUCAUUAAAUCAGUUAUGGUUCAUUAGAUAAUAAACCACAUUACUUGGAUAACUGUGGCAAUUCUAGAGCUAAUACAUGCAUUAAAUAACUUGAUCCGGAGACGGUUUGAGUGCUUUUAUUAGAUCAAAACCAAUGUGUUUAUUUCGAUAGACACUCCCAUUGGUGACUCUGAAUAACUUUAUGAUGAUCGCAUGGUCUUUGUGCCGGCGACAAAUCUUUCAAAUGUCUGACUUAUCAACUGUCGAUGGUAGGCUCUGCGCCUACCAUGGUUGUAACGGGUGACGGGGAAUCAGGGUUUGAUUCCGGAGAGGGAGCCUGAGAAACGGCUACCACAUCCAAGGAAGGCAGCAGGCGCGCAAAUUACCCACUCCCGGCACGGGGAGGUAGUGACGAAAAAUAACGAUACGGGACUCAUCCGAGGCCCCGUAAUCGGAAUGAGCACACUUUAAAUACUUUAACAAGUAUCAAUUGGAGGGCAAGUCUGGUGCCAGCCGCCGCGGUAACUCCAGCUCCAAUAGCGUAUAUUAAAGUUGUUGCGGUUAAAAAGCUCGUAGUUGGGAAUGUGUCCCGCACUGUCGGUGCGCCAUUUAUGGUGUUUACUGGCAUGCUGCGGGACGUCCUGCCGGUGGGAUUGUUACUUUUUGUUUGUAUAUCUUUAUUGGUAUACUACAAUUUGUCGCAUUCUCUUGUGACCCAUCGCGGUGCUCUUUACCGAGUGUCGUGGCGGGCCGGCACGUUUACUUUGAACAAAUUAGAGUGCUAAAAGCAGGCCUAAUGCCUGAAUAUUGUGUGCAUGGAAUAAUAGAAUAGGACCUCGGUUCUAUUUUGUUGGUUUUCUGGACCAGAGGUAAUGAUUAAGAGGAACGGACGGGGGCAUUCGUAUUGAGACGUUAGAGGUGAAAUUCUUGGAUCGUCUCAAGACGGACAGAAGCGAAAGCAUUUGCCAAGAACGUUUUCAUUAAUCAAGAACGAAAGUUAGAGGUUCGAAGGCGAUCAGAUACCGCCCUAGUUCUAACCAUAAACGAUGCCAGCCAGCGAUCCGCCAAAGUUCCUCCGAUGACUUGGCGGGCAGCUUCCGGGAAACCAAAGCUUUUGGGUUCCGGGGGGAGUAUGGUUGCAAAGCUGAAACUUAAAGGAAUUGACGGAAGGGCACCACCAGGAGUGGAGCCUGCGGCUUAAUUUGACUCAACACGGGAAACCUCACCAGGUCCGGACACCGGAAGGAUUGACAGAUUGAGAGCUCUUUCUUGAUUCGGUGGGUGGUGGUGCAUGGCCGUUCUUAGUUGGUGGAACGAUUUGUCUGGUUAAUUCCGAUAACGAACGAGACUCUAGCCUGCUAACUAGCCGUAUCCGGCAUCAUAUGCUGCCGGCGGUAUACAAUUCUUCUUAGAGGGACAGGCUGCUUCUAGCCGCACGAAAUUGAGCAAUAACAGGUCUGUAAUGCCCUUAGAUGUCCUGGGCCGCACGCGCGCUACAAUGAAAAUAUCAACGUGUCUUCCCAGACCGAACGGUCCGGGUAACCCGCUGAACCAUUUUCGUGCUAGGGAUUGGGGCUUGCAAUUACUCCCCAUGAACGAGGAAUUCCCAGUAAGCGCGAGUCAUAAGCUCGCGUUGAUUACGUCCCUGCCCUUUGUACACACCGCCCGUCGCUACUACCGAUUGAAUGAUUUAGUGAGGUCUUCGGACUGGUACGCGAUAGCGUUUAUUAUUAAUGCUGCCGAUGUAAUGGAAAGAUGACCAAACUUGAUCAUUUAGAGGAAGUAAAAGUCGUAACA
RNAcentral lists this ribosomal RNA (1858 nucleotides) under Dendroiketes novaeguineae. Its description in RNAcentral is "SSU rRNA". It matches the Rfam family "Eukaryotic small subunit ribosomal RNA". The record is from RNAcentral. Lineage: Eukaryota; Metazoa; Arthropoda; Insecta; Dermaptera; Apachyidae.